AACGCACCUUGCGCCCUUUGGUAUUCCGAAGGGCAUGCCUGUUUGAGGGUCGAUUGAAACCUUUCAACCCCUCGUGCCGUCUCUUCGACCGGACGGUGGAGGUUGGACUUUGGGGCGUGCUGGUCAUGGGUCGGCUCCCCUUCAAAUGCAUCAGCAAAAAAAAUAAAGAACCCUUUUUUGACAAAGUCGGCGUGAUAAACAUUUGCGUCGCACGGGGAGGGGGACUUUCUUGCUCACAACCGUCCUACGGGACAAAAUCCUCUUGACAUUCUGACCUCAAAUCAGGCAGGACUACCCGCCGAACUUAA
Molecule: unclassified non-coding RNA, 308 nt
Filed under: uncultured fungus
Lineage: Eukaryota; Fungi
Description: sequence contains ITS2
Rfam family: 5.8S ribosomal RNA (bases 1-52)
Source: RNAcentral